UACAUAGGGGGCAAGCGUUAUCCGGAAUUAUUGGGCGUAAAGCGUGCGUAGGCGGUUUAUUAAGUCUGAUGUUAAAACUCACAGCUCAACUGUGAGAUGCCAUUGGAAACUGGUAAACUUGAGUGCGGUAGAGGUAAGUGGAAUUCCAAGUGGAGCGGUGGAAUGCGUAGAUAUUUGGAGGAACACCAGUGGCGAAGGCGGCUUACUGGGCCGUUACUGACGCUGAGGCACGAAAGCGUGGGGAGCAAAC
This 250-nucleotide ribosomal RNA is filed under the name uncultured prokaryote. RNAcentral's name for it is "partial 16S ribosomal RNA". It matches the Rfam family "Bacterial small subunit ribosomal RNA", at positions 524 to 773 of the family's 1533-position model. The record is from RNAcentral.